CCUGUACUUCAGUUUUUUUGUUGGAGUUAAGUUAUGUUUCUGUGACAACGUGCUGAAUCAAAAUAUAUCCUACACAAUGAGUUCCGAUGUAUUCGUUCUCUGGCUUGUUUUGAAAACAUUAACCGGAACCUUACUGUACUUCUUGCCGCUAUUGAGUGACAUGCUUCUGACAGAUAGCAUGGUAACACGCAGCUAAUGGCUUCAAACUCUUGAGCGAACAUGUUUGUUACAAACUGGGCUAAAAAAUAAACGUCCGCUCUCUUUUGGGACUCAUUUUCUACCUCCGUCCGUUCCUCGCCGUCUGAGGAUGUUUUCGUCUCUCUGGAAUUUUGUGAAGCGCCACAAAAGGAAAUUUAUUGUCACCGGAGCUGUAGUUGGAGGUGUCUACUUCCUGAGUAAAUAUGCCCAGUCAAAGAUCCGAGAGCUCCAGGAGAAGGAGGCGACAGAGUACAUCGCUCAAGCCAGACGUCAGUUUCACUUCGAGAGCAACCAGAGGACGUGCAACAUGACAGUUGUGUCCAUGUUGCCGCCUCUGAGAGAAGCCAUCAUCAACCAACUCAACUCUGAAAGUCUUACAGCCAUCUUGAAGACCAGACCAGCAAAUAAGGUGGAUAUCUGGGAAGAUUUAAAGAUCAUGAGCUUCACCCGCACCAUUGUGGCCGUGUACAGCACCUGCAUGCUGGUUGUUCUGCUGAGGGUCCAGCUCAACAUCAUAGGAGGUUACCUGUACCUUGACAACUCUGUGGGAAAGCCCCCCGCGUCUCCUCAGGCUACAGCAGAGGUCCAACAGCAGUACUUAUCCAGCAUCCAACAUCUCCUUGGAGACGGCUUGACACAGUUGAUAACAGUCGUGAAGAAAUCAGUGCAGAACUCUUUGGAUGGCGUGUCCUUAAAGCAAAGUCUCAGUCUGCUGGAGUUAGAGCAGCAGCUCAGUUGGAUUCGAGCGGAGGUGGAAGCCGGUUCUGAGCACCCGCUGACCUGGUACAUGAUGGCCGACAACGAAAACGCACUAGCUGACCAGGCGUGCGGGCUGACAGAAAACGACGUCCUUACUCUCCGCCUGUUAAACGAAACCAGAGACGUGCUGGACAGCCCAAACUUUAGCGUCGUUUUAAACUCCUGCCUGCAGCGUGGCUUCUCUCGUCUCCUUGACAACCUGGCCGAGUUCUUUCGCCCGUCCCUUGACGAUUCCACUUCCAGCCGCAGUCCUGACAGUCUGUUUGUCGUUAGUCUUCCGCUGGCGAAGAUCAUCCCCAUUGUCAACGGGCAGAUCAAUACCAUCUGCAGCGAGACGCCAGGUCAUUUUGUUCAAGACCUGCUGAUGAAUGACCACGUUAAAGAGUUUGCCGCCAUCGUAUACGAAAGCUUCAGCACGCCGCAAGAGUUACAGAAGUAGACUUGACAGGAAGUAAGACUAAUUUUUUGGUUUACUGUGCUGGACUCAGCGUUGCAUUGCUGAAUGGGAGCGAAUCGAAGCAGGCGGCCUGUUUUUGGUGCCCCCACAAAGGCGAGAGGGCUACAGGAAGCUUGUCCAUCCCGACGCUCAGCACUAUCUCUGCAGCCCCAUCUCUUCAUCCACAACUCUUCCGGUCUAUCCACACGAACUCCAGGGUGGCAGAGAGCCAGCAGCUUGUCUGUGGUGCAAAAAUGGCCAUUACCAAAAGGCUCAUCCAAGGCAGAUCCAAAAAAACACUACAGAGGUAACAAAAGUACCACCCCUUAUUCUUUAGUCCCAAAAGGCAAUAACACAUAAAACAACACCAAAAACACAAAAGGAGCACAGAGCUCCUUCUUCCAGCAGCCGCUGCAGCGCCGCCAUCUAUGUUGUGUACUCUUCUGUGUGUUUUGUUCAAUUGUCUGUUCUAUUUUCUAUUCUUUGUUCUACUCUAAGUUAUAUCGGUUCUAUUUAGUUUUCUACUUUGAGUGUUAUGUGUUCUACUCUUUGUUCUUUUCUAUGGGUUUUACUCUGUCUAAUGGCCGAAAGUUAAUGGGCGGCCGAGGAUGGAGUCUGCUCUCUUGGUUGCUUUGUUGGGUCUGCUCCUGUGUCUGUUCAUGCUCCUCCCACCCCAGCAGACGAUGGCAUGGAACACCGCAUAGGCCACCACAGUGUAUAUGUUUUGUUUUUGUUUUUACUUUUGUAGCUAUAUAUGCAUCAGCUCUGCUCUUUUAAUGUAUUUUAAUGGCCUUCGUGUUCUUUGUUGUUUGAUGUUUCCCUCUUACACACAUGCUUAUGUGUGCUUUGGCAGUGACAUUUUUUUUUCUUGGCCUCAGUCUGGACCCACUCUCCAGGGGCCCAGGCUUAGACUGAAUAUAUAUUUUUUCUCCCGCCCCCCAGCGUUUGCCUGUUUCUCACCCUUUUUGUAAGGGGUGCCUGAAGUUGGCAGACCCGUCAGCGAUCCUGUUCUGUCUCCCUGUAAUGUCUGUCUGCUCUUGAAUGAGAUUGUGUUGACAAUUUUAAUUUCCCCUCAGGGAUCAAUAAAGUACUUCCGACUCUGAUUCUGAUUCUAUCCAUACGAGAACUAUGUGUGUUACUCUUCUGUGUUCUAUUCUAAGGGUACUACUGAACUGAUGUUCUAUUCUUUGUCUUCUACUCCACAAGAGUCUGUGCUCUACUCAGUGUUUCAUUCGUUGCAUAUUGCUUCUAGAUCGUUUUCAAGAGAAAUGUGUUCAUGUUUUGGAGAAAACAUCAGCAACCUCUUGGUUCUGCUGCCGUGUUGCCAUGGUAGCACUGACCAAACAUUUUUGUGUUUUUCAAGAUCUUCAACAAAUCUACAUGUGUCAGUAAGCGCUGACAGCAAACUUUCAUUUUUCUUUCUUUCUGUCCUAUCUGGACGGCAGAACAGAAAGUGGAGGCGUCAUCAUAGUGAAACCUUAAAUGUUGUCAAAGGUCACCCAGUUUAACUUGGGUUCAUCAGGGUUUCUUUAAAACGUGGGUGUUCAAAAGUGUUAAUUUAGACAGCUGUUUUUAAUUUGGUUUUAGUUAUAGUCAGAAGCAGUCUAGCACUGAACAGGCUCCUCAGUAGCCAGAGGAGCCUGUUCAGUGCUAGACUGCUUCAUCCCAAGUGCAGGACUAAUAGACUCAAGAACUCCUUUGUCCCACACGCCAUUAGACUGUACAACUCCUCUCUGGGACGGGGGACGGGGGUAUUAGGAUGACAGGGGAUGCAAAACAUUAACAGUGCAAUACGUUUUCAUAACAUGGUCACUACUGCCUACUUUGUCUUGUUAUAUUCUUAUUUUACUGUUAUAUUGUUAUUCCCAUUGUUUUUAUUCUUUUUGUAAUAUUUCUCUAUUUUGUUUCCUUUUAAACCCCCAUUAUUUACUUUUUACUUUUUUCUUUAAAUUGAUCUCAACUCUGUACACUGCUGCUGGAAUUUUAAUUCUCCUGAAGAAACUCUCCUGAAGGAAUCAAUAAAGUACUAUCUAUCUAUCUAUCUAUCUAUCUAUCUAUCUAUCUAUCUAUCUAUCUAUCUAUCUAUCUAUCUAUCUAUCUAUCUAUCUAUCUAUCUAUCUAUCUAUCUAGUCUUUGGGCAAAAAUCUAUUUUACUUUUAGUCAUCUGUAUUAUUUAGUUUUAGUCCAGUUUUUGUCCAAAAUUACAGUAAAUUUUGUUGACUAAAAUUGAAAGUACAGCGGACAACGCAUCUUUGAAGCUGUCUUGAAAGCACUUUUAUUUAUUUUUAUUGCAGAACAAGACUUGCACUCUGUGAGUACAUUUCACACUAAAACUUAUUGAAAUUGUUUUAGCGGAUAUUUAGCAUUUUUUCACAUGACUAAAAUGGUCACAUGAAGAAACAAACUAGUUUUAUUCGAGAUUGGCGGGCAAGCUCACCUAUGCGUAGAACAAAAGUAGUGGUAGAGUAAGCAGUCUUGCUCCUUCUCUGCUGUCUUUAAUAGUAACAGUAAUUCAGUACAGUACGAGUCAUUUGGAAAUAUUAAUUAAAGCCUAUUUACUGUUGUGUAGAUGUACUGAUGAUUAGCCUGCAGAAGACGCUUCAAGUUGGUUGUAUUUUACCAGAGAAAUGGACCCACAGAGUUUAUGUGUCUUGUUGUCUACCUUGCAAAGGUAAAGUGUGUCCUUAUGUCUUCUCUUUCCUCCAGUGGUAGAAGACAUAUUGUAAUGAUGUGUGUAACAAUACAGAUUAGGGAUGUAACGAUAUAAAAUGGGUUAUACUUUAGAUUAAAAUUAAAUUAAAUAAAAAAAUCGGUCUAAGCCUGGGCCUCUGGAGAGGGGGUACAGACUGAGGCCAAGGGGGAAAAAAAACAAAAAACUCAGCCAUAGUACACAUCAAACAUCAAAGACAACAAAGGACAUGAAAGACAUUAAAGCAGCGGAGCUGAUACAACCAGCCACUUCUAUAGACAGCUAUGAAUAAAAAGUAAAAGAAAAAUAUGCACUGUGGCACCAGGCCUCUGCGGUAUUCCACGCCACCGUCUGCUGGGGUAGAAAGACCAUGGCCAGAUACAGGAGCAGACCCAACAAAGCAACCAAGAGAGCUGACUCCACUCUCAGCCGCCACCCAACUCUCGGCCAGUUUCCAGCCUGCAUGGAUGAACGAGGAUACGUCCAAGGAGACUGAGGUGUCCGAUACCUGCUCAUUCAGCCAAGACACUGUGAAGCUUGUCCCUCCCAGCACUCAGUGCUAGUUCCAAGGUCCUGUCCUGUCAUCCGCAUCUCCUCCAACCUCUCCAAACUGACUCUGGUGUAGCAGAGACCCAGCAGCUGGUCUCCUUGGCCAAAAGGCUCCCGGGAGGCAGAUCCAGAAGUCCACAAAAAACACCGCAGAGGUCACGAAAGUGCCACCCCUUGUCACACAGUCCCAAAGGGUCCCGGACCAAAAGGCAAAAAAAAAAUAUAUAUAUAUAUACAUAUAUAUAUAUAUAUAUCAUGGUUCUUACACGUCAGCACAGACACUUUAUACUUUACGAGUCCAUUUUGAAAUAAAGCCUGUGUGUGACGACAUG
This is an RNA transcript of Nerophis ophidion (straightnose pipefish), 4963 nucleotides long. It is a transcript of the gene named peroxisomal biogenesis factor 3, with no coding region annotated. The record is from RefSeq and is a predicted model, not a curated record. The transcript is spliced from 13 exons. Lineage: Eukaryota; Metazoa; Chordata; Actinopteri; Syngnathiformes; Syngnathidae.